UAAGAAAAUGUGUGUGUGUCUUUGGAU
Molecule: non-coding RNA, 27 nt
Filed under: Homo sapiens (human)
Lineage: Eukaryota; Metazoa; Chordata; Mammalia; Primates; Hominidae
Source: RNAcentral